This 585-nucleotide ribosomal RNA is filed under the name uncultured bacterium. RNAcentral describes it as "partial 16S ribosomal RNA". It matches the Rfam family "Bacterial small subunit ribosomal RNA", at positions 355 to 1375 of the family's 1533-position model. The record is from RNAcentral.
UGGGGAAUUUUGGACAAUGGGCGAAAGCCUGAUCCAGCAAUGCCGCGUGUGUGAAGAAGGCCUUCGGGUUGUAAAGCACUUUUGUCCGGAAAGAAAUCCUUGGCUCUAAUACAGUCGGGGGAUGACGGUACCGGAAGAAUAAGCACCGGCUAACUACGUGCCAGCAGCCGCGGUAAUACGUAGGGUGCAAGCGUUAAUCGGAAUUACUGGGCGUAAAGCGUGCGCAGGCGGUUUGCUAAGACCGAUGUGAAAUCCCCGGGCUCAACCUGGGAACUGCAUUGGUGACUGGCAGGCUAGAGUAUGGCAGAGGGGGGUAGAAUUCCACGUGUAGCAGUGAAAUGCGUAGAGAUGUGGAGGAAUACCGAUGGCGAAGGCAGCCCCCUGGCCAAUACUGACGCUCAUGCACGAAAGCGUGGGGAGCAAACAGGAUUAGAUACCCUGGUAGUCCACGCCCUAAAACGAUGUCAACUAGUUGUUGGGGAUUCAUUUCCUUAGUAACGUAGCUAACGCGUGAAGUUGACCGCCUGGGGAGUACGGUCGCAAGAUUAAAACUCAAAGGAAUUGACGGGGUCAUAGCUGUUUCCU